This 372-nucleotide ribosomal RNA is filed under the name uncultured Desulfobulbus sp. RNAcentral's name for it is "bacterial SSU rRNA". It matches the Rfam family "Bacterial small subunit ribosomal RNA", at positions 1014 to 1382 of the family's 1533-position model. The record is from RNAcentral. Lineage: Bacteria; Pseudomonadati; Thermodesulfobacteriota; Desulfobulbia; Desulfobulbales; Desulfobulbaceae.
CUUCCAUCUGGAAGAAUCUGGAGACAGGUGGCUGCAUGGCUGUCGUCAGCUCGUGUCGUGAGAUGUUGGGUUAAGUCCCGCAACGAGCGCAACCCUUGCCUCUAGUUGCCAGCAGUUCGGCUGGGCACUCUAAAGGGACUGCCGGUGUUAAACCGGAGGAAGGUGGGGAUGACGUCAAGUCCUCAUGGCCUUUAUGACCAGGGCUACACACGUACUACAAUGGCCGAUACAAAGGGCAGCGACACUGCGAGGUGAAGCCAAUCCCGUAAAAUCGGUCUCAGUCCGGAUUGGAGUCUGCAACUCGACUCCAUGAAGUUGGAAUCGCUAGUAAUCGUGGAUCAGCAUGCCACGGUGAAUACGUUCCCGGGCCUU